This 465-nucleotide ribosomal RNA is filed under the name uncultured bacterium. RNAcentral's name for it is "partial 16S ribosomal RNA". It matches the Rfam family "Bacterial small subunit ribosomal RNA", at positions 28 to 507 of the family's 1533-position model. The record is from RNAcentral.
GACGAACGCUGGCGGCGUGCUUAACACAUGCAAGUCGAACGGAAAGGCCCUGCUUGCAGGGUCCUCGAGUGGCGAACGGGUGAGUAACACGUGGGUGAUCUGCCCUGCACUUCGGGAUAAGCUUGGGAAACUGGGUCUAAUACCGGAUAGGACCGCACUUUAGUGUGUGUGGUGGAAAGUUUUUUCGGUGUAGGAUGAGCUCGCGGCCUAUCAGCUUGUUGGUGGGGUAAUGGCCUACCAAGGCGGCGACGGGUAGCCGGCCUGAGAGGGUGUACGGCCACAUUGGGACUGAGAUACGGCCCAGACUCCUACGGGAGGCAGCAGUGGGGAAUAUUGCACAAUGGGCGCAAGCCUGAUGCAGCGACGCCGCGUGGGGGAUGAAGGCCUUCGGGUUGUAAACUCCUUUCGCUAGGGACGAAGCUUUUUGUGACGGUACCUAGAUAAGAAGCACCGGCUAACUACGUG